UAAACGCUUAUCACCUUCUUGUUUCACCGAUAGAAAGAAAUCUGGGGAUGAAUAUGGAUUGCAGACUGCUGUGCUAUAUUGGCAGAGAAUAAUCAUGGAGGCUCCUUAAAUCAGAAUUCUAUGCAGCGUGAUACAUACAAAUAUUUUGGAGAUAAACGAUGAUGCAGAUAUACUUCUCCUGGGAUCCAAGCCAGCUCUGCACAGUGCUGCACUGUAUGGUAUAACACCUAAACAUCCCACUCGAGGUCUGUUAGAUGUGGGGUACACAGAAAUAUUCUUUCUCAUCAGGGUGUGCCAAGUACCUGGUAAGGGGAAUGUGGAGGAAAACUGAAAAAAGUGAGGAGCAGACAUGAGGUGACAAGAAUGCAGUUGUCUGUGCACAUCUGGAAUAGGUUCAGUUUCACCCCAGAUUUUUCACUGCUUUGUUGUUGUCCACAAUUGUCUUAAUUGCUUUGCAGGACAAACAAAAUAGAAUCCAGCUCCUGAAGAGCAUCAUAAUCUCAGAAUAGAUGAAAAAGCAUUAAAAGAUGGGAGAAAGAUAUACAACAUACCAGCAAAUCCACAGAGGUGACACAAAGCUGGUUCUGACUAUGAUACUGUGAAUUUUUUGUUUUCAGUAAGACUGUAUUCUCUUACAGCAUUUUCCAUUUAACAAUAUUAACAUACCUUUUCAUUGUAAAAGAACUGAGUUUAGGAUCAUCUGAAUACUUCUCCCA
Molecule: long non-coding RNA, 716 nt
Filed under: Dromaius novaehollandiae (emu)
Lineage: Eukaryota; Metazoa; Chordata; Aves; Casuariiformes; Dromaiidae
Description: lncRNA (ENSDNVG00000007847.1)
Source: RNAcentral